GACGAACGCUGGCGGCGUGCCUAAUACAUGCAAGUCGAGCGGACUUUCAAGAAGCUUGCUUUUUGAAGGUUAGCGGCGGACGGGUGAGUAACACGUGGGCAACCUGCCUGUAAGACGGGGAUAACUCCGGGAAACCGGGGCUAAUACCGGAUAAUAUCUUUCUUCGCAUGAAGGAAGGUUGAAAGGCGGCGCAAGCUGCCGCUUGCAGAUUGGCCCGCGGCGCAUUAGCUAGUUGGUGAGGUAACGGCUCACCAAGGCGACGAUGCGUAGCCGACCUGAGAGGGUGAACGGCCACACUGGGACUGAGACACGGCCCAGACUCCUACGGGAGGCAGCAGUAGGGAAUCUUCCGCAAUGGACGAAAGUCUGACGGAGCAACGCCGCGUGAGCGAAGAAGGUCUUCGGAUCGUAAAGCUCUGUUGUCAGGGAAGAACAAGUACCGUUCGAAUAGGGCGGUACCUUGACGGUACCUGACCAGAAAGCCACGGCUAACUACGUGCCAGCCGCCGCCGUAA
This 515-nucleotide ribosomal RNA is filed under the name uncultured bacterium. Its description in RNAcentral is "partial 16S ribosomal RNA". It matches the Rfam family "Bacterial small subunit ribosomal RNA", at positions 28 to 523 of the family's 1533-position model. The record is from RNAcentral.